CCAGACUCCUACGGGAGGCAGCAGUGGGGAAUAUUGGGCAAUGGGCGCAAGCCUGACCCAGCAACGCCGCGUGAAGGAAGAAGGCUUUCGGGUUGUAAACUUCUUUUGUCAGGGACGAAGCAAGUGACGGUACCUGACGAAUAAGCCACGGCUAACUACGUGCCAGCAGCCGCGGUAAUACGUAGGUGGCAAGCGUUAUCCGGAUUUACUGGGUGUAAAGGGCGUGUAGGCGGGACUGCAAGUCAGAUGUGAAAACCACGGGCUCAACCUGUGGCCUGCAUUUGAAACUGUUGAUCUUGAGUACUGGAGAGGCAGACGGAAUUCCUAGUGUAGCGGUGAAAUGCGUAGAUAUUAGGAGGAACACCAGUGGCGAAGGCGGUCUGCUGGACAGCAACUGACGGUGAGGCGCGAAAGCGUGGGGAGCAAACAGGAUUAGAUACCCGUGUAU
Molecule: ribosomal RNA, 448 nt
Filed under: uncultured bacterium
Lineage: Bacteria
Description: bacterial SSU rRNA
Rfam family: Bacterial small subunit ribosomal RNA
Source: RNAcentral